This 224-nucleotide ribosomal RNA is filed under the name uncultured bacterium. RNAcentral describes it as "partial 16S ribosomal RNA". It matches the Rfam family "Bacterial small subunit ribosomal RNA", at positions 94 to 334 of the family's 1533-position model. The record is from RNAcentral.
AGUGGCGCACGGGUGAGUAACACGUAGGUUAUCUACCUCUGAGUGGGGAAUAACAGUCGGAAACGAUUUCUAAUACCGCAUAAUACCGAAAGGUCAAAGCUUUAGUGCUUGGAGAGGAGCCUGCGGCAGAUUAGCUAGUUGGUGAGGUAAUGGCUCACCAAGGCGACGAUCUGUAUCCGGUCUAAGAGGACGGUCGGACACACUGACACUGAAUAACGGGUCAG